CAUUCCGCGUGAGUGAAGAACCCCCCUACAAAAAAAAAAAGCACUUUCAGUUGGGAGGAAGGGGUUGUAAAUUAAAAGUACACAGCCUUGACGUUACCAACAGAAGAAGCACCGGCUAACUCUGUGCCAGCAGCCGCGGUAAUACAGAGGGUGCAAGCGUUAAUCGGAAUUACUGGGCGUAAAGCGCACGUAGGCGGUUUUUUAAGUCAGAUGUGAAAGCCCCGGGCUCAACCUGGGAAUUGCAUUUGAAACUGGAAAACUAGAGUGUGUGAGAGGGGGGUAGAAUUCCAAGUGUAGCGGUGAAUCUCUCUGUGUUGAUUUGGAGGAANUACCAGUGGCGAAGGCGGCCCCCUGGCACAACACUGACGCUCAGGUGCGAAAGCGUGGGGAGCAAACAGGAUUAGAUACCCUGGUAGUCCACGCUGUANAACGAUGUCNUACUAGCUGUUCGUGACCUUGUGUCNGUGAGUAGCGCAGCUAACGCACUAAGUAGACCGCCUGGGGANGUACGGNUCGNCAAGNAUUAAAACUCAAAUGAAUUGACGGGGGCCCGCACAAGCGGUGGAGCAUGUGGUUUAAUUCGACGCAACGCGAAGAACCUUACCUACUCUUGACAUCCAGAGAAGACUGCAGAGAUGCGGUUGUGCCUUCGGGAACUCUGAGACAGGUGCUGCAUGGCUGUCGUCAGCUCGUGUUGUGAAAUGUUGGGUUAAGUCCCGCAACGAGCGCAACCCUUAUCCUUAGUUGCCAGCACGUAAUGGUGGGAACUCUAGGGAGACUGCCGGUGAUAAACCGGAGGAAGGUGGGGACGACGUCAAGUCAUCAUGGCCCUUACGAGUAGGGCUACACACGUGCUACAAUGGUAUGUACAGAGGGAGGCAAGCUGGCGACAGUGAGCGGAUCUCUUAAAGCAUAUCGUAGUCCGGAUCGCAGUCUGCAACUCGACUGCGUGAAGUCGGAAUCGCUAGUAAUCGCAAAUCAGAAUGUUGCGGUGAAUACGUUCCCGGGCCCUUGUACACACCGCCCGUCACCACCAUGGGAGUGGGUUGCAAAGAAGUAGUAGCUUAACCCUUCGGGAGGGCGCUUACCACUUUGUGAUUCAUGACUGGGGUG
RNAcentral lists this ribosomal RNA (1113 nucleotides) under uncultured Rheinheimera sp. RNAcentral's name for it is "bacterial SSU rRNA". It matches the Rfam family "Bacterial small subunit ribosomal RNA", at positions 393 to 1482 of the family's 1533-position model. Lineage: Bacteria; Pseudomonadati; Pseudomonadota; Gammaproteobacteria; Chromatiales; Chromatiaceae. The record is from RNAcentral.